Molecule: ribosomal RNA, 516 nt
Filed under: uncultured Actinomycetes bacterium
Lineage: Bacteria; Bacillati; Actinomycetota; Actinomycetes
Description: bacterial SSU rRNA
Rfam family: Bacterial small subunit ribosomal RNA
Source: RNAcentral
CCGCACAAGCAGCGGAGCAUGCGGCUUAAUUCGACGCAACGCGAAGAACCUUACCAAGGCUUGACAUAUACAGGAAUAUGGCAGAGAUGUCAUAGCCGCAAGGUCUGUAUACAGGUGGUGCAUGGUUGUCGUCAGCUCGUGUCGUGAGAUGUUGGGUUAAGUCCCGCAACGAGCGCAACCCUCGUUCUGUGUUGCCAGCAUUUAGUUGGGGACUCACAGGAGACUGCCGGGGUUAACUCGGAGGAAGGUGGGGAUGACGUCAAAUCAUCAUGCCCCUUAUGUCUUGGGCUGCACGCAUGCUACAAUGGCUGGUACAAACGGCUGCGAUACCGCAAGGUGGAGCGAAUCCGAUAAAGCCAGUCUCAGUUCGGAUUGGGGUCUGCAACUCGACCCCAUGAAGUCGGAGUUGCUAGUAAUCGUAGAUCAGCAACGCUACGGUGAAUACGUUCCCGGGGCUUGUACACACCGCCCGUCACGUCACGAAAGUCGGUAACACCCGAAGUCAGUGGCCCAACC